AUAUAGAAAAAUGCCCUUCCCCAAUUUCCAAAUCAUGAAAAUUUGGCUCAGCAGGUGUACACUUAAAGCGUUCUGGGAAUAUGAAUCCCUUCUGCACCCUGGAAUCACCAGUCCAGCCAUGCAUGGAGCUGGGGAAAGCAGGCCCUGAAUUGUCUAGAGAGACUUGGUGGAGGAGGCCACGGCCCGCCUUGUCCCUGCCGGGUCCCAGCCAGGUGUGUGUGCCCCAGCUGGACUCUCGGUGGUCUCCACAGGCUGCAGCAGAAGGAAUACCUUGGAACAACUGGAUGUUGUAAAUGUUUCUCAUCUGGCCUUAAAAUCCAUGAAAGCUGGAAAAUCACAAGGCAUCUGUGCACAUACUGGUGGAUUUUAAUGAGAGUCCUGUGUUUGGAGCACCAGAAAUAAACCAGCUUCAGAAGCAAAGGAGGAGGAAGCAGAGCUAGAGAUGGAAGGAGACCCAGCCAGCCCGGGCUCCAGUGACAUCGGCUGGUACACGCUUUUGUUUGCUUACGCUUGUUGAACUGAGUUUUUCAUAUGUAACUAACGAAUAGUGGCACAUGUGAGCCCGAGAAUUUGCAUUUCUGACAAGAUCCCAGGAUCUGAACGUCUAUGACACUCUUUCGAGCUGACACAGUGAAGAACAUGGAAGGAGAACUCACCCAGUCUGCCAGGGUCACAGAUGAUCAUACUCAAGAUCUUCCUGGGGAGUCAAUGGCAAAUUUCACUGGGCUAUUUUACAGAUGAAGAAGGAACAUAAAGAAGGUUCUGGGACCCU
Molecule: long non-coding RNA, 772 nt
Filed under: Pan troglodytes (chimpanzee)
Lineage: Eukaryota; Metazoa; Chordata; Mammalia; Primates; Hominidae
Description: lincRNA
Source: RNAcentral